AACGAACGCUGGCGGCGUGCCUAACACAUGCAAGUCGAACGAGAACGGUUCCUUUGGGAAUCUAGUAAAGUGGCGCACGGGUGAGUAACACGUAGGUGACCUACCUCUUGUUGGGGAACAACUCCGGGAAACCGAAGCUAAUUCCGCGUAAGCUUGCCGAACUGCGGUUCGGCAAGGAAAGGUGGCCUCUUCAUGAAAGCUACCGACGAGAGAUGGGCCUGCGUACCAUUAUGCUUGUUGGCGGGGUAAUGGCCCACCAAGGCUACGAUGGUUAGCUGAUCUGAGAGGAUGAUCAGCAACACUGGAACUGAGACACGGACCAGACUCCUACGGGAGGCAGCAGUGGGGAAUAUUGCGCAAUGGGCGAAAGCUUGACGCAGCAACGCCGCGUGAGUGAUGAAGGCCUUCGGGUCGUAAAGCUCUGUCAGAAGGAACGAAUACCCGCUGGGAGCAAUACCCCAGCGGUUUGACGGUACCUUCAGAGGAAGCACCGGCUAACUCCGUGCCAGCCGCCGCCGUAA
This 521-nucleotide ribosomal RNA is filed under the name uncultured bacterium. RNAcentral's name for it is "partial 16S ribosomal RNA". It matches the Rfam family "Bacterial small subunit ribosomal RNA", at positions 29 to 523 of the family's 1533-position model. The record is from RNAcentral.